UACCUGUGUGACUGCGUACCUUUUGUAUAAUGGGUCAGCGACUUAUAUUCUGUAGCAAGGUUAACCGAAUAGGGGAGCCGGAGGGAAACCGAGUCUUAAUUGGGCGUUAAGUUGCAGGGUAUAGACCCGAAACCCGGUGAUCUAGCCAUGGGCAGGUUGAAGGUUGGGUAACACUAACUGGAGGACCGAACCGACUAAUGUUGAAAAAUUAGCGGAUGACCUGUGGCUGGGGGUGAAAGGCCAAUCAAACCGGGAGAUAGCUGGUUCUCCCCGAAAGCUAUUUAGGUAGCGCCUCGUGAAUUCAUCUCCGGGGGUAGAGCACUGUUUCGGCUAGGGGGCCAUCCCGGCUUACCAACCCGAUGCAAACUGCGAAUACCGGAGAAUGUUAUCACGGGAGACACACGGCGGGUGCUAACGUCCGUCGUGAAGAGGGAAACAACCCAGACCGCCAGCUAAGGUCCCAAAGUCAUGGUUAAGUGGGAAACGAUGUGGGAAGGCCCAGACAGCCAGGAUGUUGGCUUAGAAGCAGCCAUCAUUUAAAGAAAGCGUAAUAGCUCACUGGUCGAGUCGGCCUGCGCGGAAGAUGUAACGGGGCUAAACCAUG
RNAcentral lists this ribosomal RNA (604 nucleotides) under Salmonella enterica. RNAcentral describes it as "partial 23S ribosomal RNA". It matches the Rfam family "Bacterial large subunit ribosomal RNA", at positions 586 to 1191 of the family's 2925-position model. Lineage: Bacteria; Pseudomonadati; Pseudomonadota; Gammaproteobacteria; Enterobacterales; Enterobacteriaceae. The record is from RNAcentral. RNAcentral also lists the same sequence under 2 other names.